Molecule: ribosomal RNA, 519 nt
Filed under: uncultured bacterium
Lineage: Bacteria
Description: bacterial SSU rRNA
Rfam family: Bacterial small subunit ribosomal RNA
Source: RNAcentral
AGAACUUAGCAGAGAUGCUUUGGUGCCUUCGGGAACGUCUGAGACAGGUGCUGCAUGGCUGUCGUCAGCUCGUGUUGUGAAAUGUUGGGUUAAGUCCCGCAACGAGCGCAACCCUUAUCCUUUGUUGCCAGCGGUUAGGCCGGGAACUCAAAGGAGACUGCCAGUGAUAAACUGGAGGAAGGUGGGGAUGACCGUCAAGUCAUCAUGGCCCUUACGAGUAGGGCUACACACGUGCUACAAUGGCGCAUACAAAGAGAAGCGACCUCGCGAGAGCAAGCGGACCUCAUAAAGUGCGUCGUAGUCCGGAUUGGAGUCUGCAACUCGACUCCAUGAAGUCGGAAUCGCUAGUAAUCGUGGAUCAGAAUGCCACGGUGAAUACGUUCCCGGGCCUUGUACACACCGCCCGUCACACCAUGGGAGUGGGUUGCAAAAGAAGUAGGUAGCUUAACCUUCGGGAGGGCGCUUACCACUUUGUGAUUCAUGACUGGGGUGAAGUCGUAACAAGGUAGGCGUAGUGCU